UAAUACAUGCAAGUAGAACGCUGAAGCUUGGUGCUUGCACCGAGCGGAGGAGUUGCGAACGGGUGAGUAACGCGUAGGUAACCUGCCUCUUAGCGGGGGAUAACUAUUGGAAACGAUAGCUAAUACCGCAUAAAAGUCGAUAUCGCAUGAUAUUGAUUUGAAAGGUGCAACUGCAUCACUAAGAGAUGGACCUGCGUUGUAUUAGCUAGUUGGUGAGGUAACGGCUCACCAAGGCGACGAUACAUAGCCGACCUGAGAGGGUGAUCGGCCACACUGGGACUGAGACACGGCCCAGACUCCUACGGGAGGCAGCAGUAGGGAAUCUUCGGCAAUGGACGGAAGUCUGACCGAGCAACGCCGCGUGAGUGAAGAAGGUUUUCGGAUCGUAAAGCUCUGUUGUAAGAGAAGAACGAGUGUGAGAGUGGAAAGUUCACACUGUGACGGUAACUUACCAGAAAGGGACGGCUAACUACGUGCCAGCAGCCGCGGUAAUACGUAGGUCCCGAGCGUUAUCCGGAUUUAUUGGGCGUAAAGCGAGCGCAGGCGGUUAGAUAAGUCUGAAGU
This 564-nucleotide ribosomal RNA is filed under the name uncultured Bacilli bacterium. Its description in RNAcentral is "bacterial SSU rRNA". It matches the Rfam family "Bacterial small subunit ribosomal RNA", at positions 49 to 595 of the family's 1533-position model. The record is from RNAcentral. Lineage: Bacteria; Bacillati; Bacillota; Bacilli.